This 603-nucleotide ribosomal RNA is filed under the name Pichia ethanolica. RNAcentral describes it as "eukaryotic LSU rRNA". It matches the Rfam family "Eukaryotic large subunit ribosomal RNA", at positions 27 to 656 of the family's 3401-position model. Lineage: Eukaryota; Fungi; Ascomycota; Pichiomycetes; Pichiales; Pichiaceae. The record is from RNAcentral.
GCUGAACUUAAGCAUAUCAAUAAGCGGGAGGAAAAGAAACCAACAGGGAUUGCCUCAGUAGCGGCGAGUGAAGCGGCAAGAGCUCAGAUUUGAAAUCGUGUUUCGGCACGAGUUGUAGAGUGUAGGCUGGAGUCUCUGUGGAGCGCGGUGUCCAAGUCCCUUGGAACAGGGUGCCUGAGAGGGUGAGAGCCCCGUGGGGUGCUGCGCGAAGCUUUGAGGCCCUGCUGACGAGUCGAGUUGUUUGGGAAUGCAGCUCUAAGCGGGUGGUAAAUUCCAUCUAAGGCUAAAUAUUGGCGAGAGACCGAUAGCGAACAAGUACUGUGAAGGAAAGAUGAAAAGCACUUUGAAAAGAGAGUGAAACAGCACGUGAAAUUGUUGAAAGGGAAGGGUAUUGGGCCCGACAUGGGGAGUGCGCACCGCUGUCUCUUGUAGGCGGCGCUCUGGGCGCUCUCUGGGCCAGCAUCGGUUCUUGCUGCGAGAGAAGUGGUGCCGGAAAGUGGCUCUUCGGAGUGUUAUAGCCGGUGCCGGAUGUCGCGUGCGGGGACCGAGGGCUGCGACAUCUGUCUCGGAUGCUGGCACAACGGCGCAAUACCGCCCGUCUUG